GUCAUUACCACAUAAUACUAAUUUAUCCACGUAUUAAAAAUAGCUUGUCCCACUGAUUCAAUAUUGAAUCGCCUAUAUGGUUCCUGUGACUGCAUAUGCUUUUCUAUAACUUUCUACUGAAAUAUUUAGUUCUUGAUAAUUUCUUCUGUGAUAUAGCUGUGGAAAAAAUGUUUAAUUCUGGGACAUAUAAAUUGAUGUAUCUCUUGCCAAACGUGCCAAUUAUAUGACAUCUUUUUCAUAACUCCUGUGGAAAACUGGGUUAGAAUAUGUCCUCAGUACCCCUUGCUUGUCGUAAGAGUUGACUAAAUGGGUCCUUCAGACAAGUUCGCAAAAACAGAGGUGUCACAGCAGGUGUGGCACGUUAAAGCUCAAAGGCCGUAAGCACCAAGCAUAGGCCUUUAAAUACUGCAGCCCUUUACCGGCAAUGGUGAUGCAUGUCUCCAUAUGACUGAAAAAUUCUUGAGAGGGGCAUUAAACAAUAUACAAUUAAUCUUGAAGGAGUAGGAGUAAUUAUUGUUCUUAGAGAUUUAUGAAAUAUAACAAAUCGUGUAAUAAGAAUUUAUAACAUUUUUUUUUUCUGCAUCCAAAAUGAAUGCAUGUACACAUUUUUUAUUGUUUUAGAGGAGGAAAGUGUCGAUUGGGUUAAGACUGAUCUGUACAAAAGUGGUUUUUCUGUUGGACACAUUUCAAAUACAAUGGAGGAACAAUCCUGCACAUCAUUUGUGGAAACGGAAGAGUUAGAGGCAGAACAGGAGGAACAAUCAUGAACAUCAUUAGUUGAAAUGGGAGAGUUAGAGGCAGAACAGUCAUUUCACCCAAGGAGGCAUGCAUAUGGAUUUAGGCUGUGAAAAAGAACCCAAAACAAAAUGGCGGCUGGUGAAUUAGAUAAAAUUUCUGACUGUAGGAUCUGAACGGAGAAUAGGAAUACUGCAUCCCAUCUGACCCUGCAGAAAGAAAGACCUCUGGCAAAGACAAGAACAAAGGAGGAAGAACAUUUCUGGAAAUUUAUGAAAUCUUCAGUGUGUUUGAACACAGGAGCUAUGAUAUCCAUUCUGGUUGCCUCGGGAUCGAUUCUUGUGACUAUAGAAAAUUGGAAAUUCAAAUGUUGGUUAUUUUACACUUUAAAAGUGCUUACUGUUUAGUCCAAUAUCUUGAUAAAUCUAGUCUUUUAUGAUUUUCCAGGCAAAUUAAAUCUCCAACACAUGUAUACAUUUUUUGAUAAAUUACCCCAAGGACCCUAUAUUUUUUCAAAAGCAAUAUAUAUCUGAAGUAAAUAAAACCAUUUUUGUUGGGUCACACAAUGAAUAGAAAUGACAGAUGUAGUGCUUUUAUCAUGGAAUUUCUGUAAACAGAUGAUAUUUUUUACACAGGUUUUAGCUCACCUGAGCCAAAAGCUCAAGUAAGCUUUUCUGAUCAAAAUUUGUCCGUUGUCUGUCGUCGUCGUAAAUUUUUCACGUUUUCGACUUCUUCUCAAGAACCGUUGGCCAAUUUCAACCAAACUUGUCACAAAACAUCCUUGGGUGAGGGACUUUCAAGUUUGUUCAAAUUAAGGGCCAUGUCCCAUUCAAUGGGAAGAUAAUCAAAAAAUGCAAAAAUAGGGUGGGGUCAUUUAAAAAUCUUCUUGUCAAGAACCACUGGACCAGAAAAGCUGAAAUUUACAGGAAAGCUUCCUGAUAUAGUGCAGAUUCAAGUUUGUUCAAAUCAUGGCCCCUGGAGAUUGGAUGGGGCCACAAUAGGGGAUUAAAGUUUUACAUACUGAUAUAUAGGAUAAAUCUUUAAAAAUCUUCUUCUCAAGAACUACUGAGCCAGAAAAGCUGAUAUUUACAUGAAAGCUAUCUGACAUAAUGCAAAUUCAAGAUUGUUCAAAUCAUGGCCCCUGGGGUAUAAUGGGGUUGCAAUAGGGGAUCAAAGUUUUACCUGCAAAUAUAUAGGAAAAAUGUUUAAAAUUGUUCUUCUCAAGAACCACUGGGCCAGAAAAGCUUAUAUUUACAUCAAAGCUUCCUGACAUAAUGCAGAUUCAAGUUUGUUCAAAUCAUGGCCCCUGAGGGUAUGAUGGGUCCACAUUAGGGGAUCAAAGUUUUACAUACGAAUAUAUAAGGAAAACCUUCUUCUCAAAAACCACUGAGCCAGAAAAGCUGAUAUUUACAUGAAAGCUCUCUGACAUAUAUUUCAGAUUUCAGUUUGUUAAAAUCAUGAUCCCCAGGGUAGGAUGGGGUCACAAGGGGGAUCAAAGUUUUACUUACAAAUAUAUAGGGAAAAUCUUUAAAUAUGAGCUAAGGUGACUCAGGUGAGUGAUGUGGCCCUUGGGCCUCUUGUUUAAAGCCUUUCAUAAUUACCAAAUUAAAAAAUUGGUCUGCAACUGGAAGGUACAAACGCAUCCAUUAUCAUUUUGAAUAUUCAUAACCUAGUAUGUUCUGUUGCCAUGUUUUGUUUAGAAUUUUGUUCAGAGAAAUGUAGUUCAAAUGAUCACAAAAUAUACACUGUCAUUGGUUUUGGUAUACAUAUAAAAGGUAAAUCCUGGUUUACCAUGUUCAUAAUAUAUGUCAUGCAAUAGAACUAAGUGCUCUGUUGUUUAAACUGUGUAUUGUUAUAGGAUUUUUGUGUAGUGUUUAUGACUAUCUCAUGUGAGCAUUACUGCCUAUGAUUUUUUUUCUUUAAAUAUAAUUGUUUUGAAAAUAUGUUGAUAAAUGACCACUACAGUUUGAUUCAUAUGUAUAUUAUCUGAGUUCAGAAUGUUCUCUUGUGUUUUGUCUUAUUGAGAUGAUAUAUUGUGCUCUUUGACUUAAUGAUGCUGCUUUAAGGCAUACUUGUUGGACCUAUAGUGUAUUCAUUUUCAAAUGUAUUGAAAUAUAUUUUUUGAUAAUAAUGAGGCAAUGCUAUACUUGUUAGGGUAGUAAUGCACCAGUAAUUCAAAUGUACAUUGAUGUCUUACCCGAAUGUUUUUAUUUGGUUACAAUUCUGGUUUUUGAUAAGAAUUUUAGGUCAUAUAGGUAAUCUCUGGUGACCUGUCUUCUGAGUAAAUUCAGGUAACAAUUGAACAUUUUGUAAGAAAUAUGUAUGCAUAGUCAGGUAGAGGAGGAAGGCCUUUACUAAAAUGUAGAUGUCGUAAUCCAUGGGGUAGGGUUUCUGACUCUGGGGUAAGACCAAGCUUGGUAUACAUAGUGCAUAUGUGUUAAAGGCAUAGGAUCUAUCUUUUAUCUCAAAAAUGACAUCACACUAUUUUGCAAGAAGAACUCCAGAAAACAAAUUUGUAGUAUUAAUUAUGAGUUAUCUAUAGCUGCAGCGCUUUGAAAUUGAAAUCAUUUUGACUUUUUAGCCCUAUUUAAAAUUUUUGUCAGGAGGACAAUAUAUUAAACUGGUACCCUGCUGAUUGCUGGCUACACACAAACAUAAGAAAUGCAAAAUCAACAGGGUACCAAGGCAAACGAGAACAGGGAAUUAUUUUGUAAUUACUAUCGUUAUCCAAUGUGUUUGUAAACAUUCUGAAGAACUUUGUGUGAUUUUCUAGUUAAUAUGAUCUUAAAUUUCGCCAUCUUUUUGGAACAUGCAACAUUUCACCAAUAUCUUAGACCCUAUGCCUUUAAGGUAAUUCCACCCCUGUAGAAUUAUAGGUUCAAUCUUAUAUUUGAUUAAUGAUUAUCUUAGUAACAAAUAAAAAUGAUAAGAUAAGUAUGUUGCAGCAUUGAUAAAAAGAUUUAUUAAUUAGCACGCAUAUACCUGUUAUUGAUGUCAGAAAAUUACAAUUGUCCUUAAAUACAUUUCAUUAUCACAAAAACUUGUUAAAACAAUAUAAUGGUAUUCAUAACAAUUUCAUGAAACUGUUUCUUAAAAAAAAAUAUACAAUAUGUGUGUGAAAAGUAAAAUAUAUCUAUGCAUAAAAAAUUGAUAAAUAAUUUAAUGAAAAAGGAGUUAUUACCCUUGGAUUUGGUAUUUCGAAACUCAUACGUGACUUUUGAAAUGUCUUAUGGUUAACAAGAUAUUUUACAAUAACUAUUGAAAAAGACUUCAACAAAAUUUAUGUUCCCAUUAUGCAUAAAUCUUAUCAAAUCAUUGACUUUGCGAAAUGGUAUGACAUCACAGGAGAGUGGAACUACGUUACACAAUUAUAAAAUAUUUUUUUAGCUCACCUGAGCUGAAAGAUCAAGUGAGCUUUUCUGAUCGCUUUUUGUCCGUCGUCUGUCUGUCUGUCCGUCUGUCUGUCUGUCUGUCAAACAUUUACAUUUUCAACUUCUUCUCCAAAACCACUGGGCCAAUUUUAACCAAUGUUUGCACAAAUCAUCCUUAAGUGAAGGGGAAUCAAAAUUGUUCAAAUGAGGGCCAACCUCCUUAUCCAAGGGGAGAUAAUAGCAAAUCAGUGAAAAUACACUGACAUUUUUUAAAAAUCUUCUUCUCCAGAACCAGUAAGCCAAUUUCAUUCAAACUUAAUGCAAAUCAUCCUUAGUUGAAGGGAAUUCAAAAUUGUUCAAAUUAAGGGCCAGGUUUUCUUCAAAGGGGAGAUCAUCACAAAAGUGUAGAAAUAGGGUGGGGUCAUUUAAAAAUCUUCUUUUCAUGAACCACUGUGCCAGUAUAGUUGAAAUUUACGUGGAAGUUUGCUGACAUAAUGGAGAUUCAAGUUUGUUCAUAUCAUGGCCCCCAGGAGUCGGAUGGCGCCACAAUAGGGGAAACCAUAUUUUAUAUGUAUUUAUAUAGGAAAAAUCUUUUAAAAUCUUCUUCUCAAGAACCAUUGAGCCAGAAGAUUUCGAAUUUACAUGGAAGCUUCCUGACAUAAUGCAGAUUCAAGUUGUUCAUAUCAUGGCCCCCAUGGGUCGGGUGGGGCCACAAUAGGGGAAACCAUAUUUUAUAUGUGUUUAUAUAGGAAAAAUCUUUUAAAAUCUUCUUCUCAAGAACCAUUGAGCCAGAAGAGUUCAACUUUACAUGGAAGCUUCCUGACAUAAUGCAGAUUCAAAUUUGUUCAUAUCAUGGCCCCUGGGGGUCGGGUGGGGCCACACUAGGGGAAACCACAUUUUAUAUGUAUUUAUAUAGGAAAAAUCUUCUCAAGAACCAUUGAGCCAGAAGAGUUCAAAUUCAUAUCGAAGUUUCCUGACAUAGUUCAGAUUCAAGUUUGAAGCUUUAUGACAUAGUUCAAAUUCAAGUUUGUUGAAAUCAUGACCCCCGGGGUGUCAGGUUUUGCCACAAUAAGGGAAACCGUAUUUCCUAUGAGUAAAUAUAUGAUAACUCAGGUGAGCGAUGUGGCCCAUGUGCCUCUUGUUUAAAGGUUGAUAUUAACAUGAAUCUAAAUUAAUAUGUGGUAGUCCUUAACCAAAAUUGUAAAAUACAUGAUUUCCUGGACAAGGGUUUAGUUUCCAGGAUAAGGCCAAGAUUAUAGUAGCAACUAUUGUCUUUAUUGUGAUAUGGUAAAUAACUAAAUGCAUGCUUAUUAGAAGCAGAACAGGAUAUACCAAAGUGGUGAUUUACACAACCCCAGGGUUUUGACUGUACACAGGUACAAAGUAGUCAUAUUAUUUAAUGUUGUAUAUAUAACAUCCCUUAUUAGUGAAAUAUUCUCGAGAGGGACGUUAAACAAUACACAAUCAAUCAUCUGGACUGUAUAGGCACUUUCGGGGCAUUUAAGUUUUAUGAACACAUCUUGUUUUAUUCUGUUUUGUAUGUUAGGAUUUAAUUUAGGUAUGCAAAACAGGAAUUUUUCUCAAGAUUUCAUAAUCCUUGGGGCUAGUGAUACUUUCAAUUAAUUCUCAUGUACCCAAUAAGGCCUGUGGGCCUUUUAUUUCAUGAAAUACAUUAAAUUCUGAUUGAUAUGUCUUUUGUAAUUUUUCAUGAAAUGGAUGGAAAUCCUGUAUGUUUUAUUAAUAUUUGACCAGUAACCAUACUUGAAAAUUAUUUGUAUGACAUGCCAGUUUUUGCUACUAAGUAACAAUUAUAUAAUGAAUAAAUUUCAUGUUAAAGUUAACUUUUAAA
Molecule: long non-coding RNA, 5955 nt
Organism: Ostrea edulis (European flat oyster)
Lineage: Eukaryota; Metazoa; Mollusca; Bivalvia; Ostreida; Ostreidae
Exons: 5
Source: RefSeq, a predicted model, not a curated record